This is a long non-coding RNA of Cercocebus atys (sooty mangabey), 323 nucleotides long. RefSeq lists it as uncharacterized. The transcript has 2 exons. NCBI's taxonomy places the organism in Eukaryota, Metazoa, Chordata, Mammalia, Primates, Cercopithecidae. The record is from RefSeq and is a predicted model, not a curated record.
AAUACGGGCAAGGGGGAAUCAUUGAAGAAGACAGAAUAUUGAAGUGUUCAAAUGAAUAAAGAAGCUAAAAACCAAAUCAAAAGAAAACUGAGCUCCGAGCAAUGAAGGAAGUUGCAACUGGACAUAAAACUUAAAAUGGCAGAGGGAGGAAUCAAUGCAGACAUGGAGUUCUGAAGCUUUUGCUGUUGCUCUCAAUGCAUUUCUAAGGAAACCCAACAGUAUCCAUUUCACUGACCAAUUGCUUUGUACCCAAAAUUCUAUUUUUCGUAAGAACUUUUCAUUUUCUGACAAAAACUAUUUGUUAAAUAAACAUAACUUCAUAA